UGGCAGUAGAAACCAAGAAAAGACAUUACCACACCAGCCAUGAAAACUAAACUCCAACCUAAAUAUGCAGAUCAUGUCUUAGUGACAUCAUAAAAUUGUGGUAUUUCCAUUCUUAACGUCAAAACCUCCUGAGAACUAAACAAUGAAAAAGUUCGAGGACAUGAUAUCAAUUAGUAAUGGGUAGGUCGCUAGGUGCCAAACUGCCUCCUGGCACCAAUGAAUGCAGCUACUCCAAAGGCACAAAUAAAUCUAAAGCUCUUGUGGAGAAGAAGAAAACAGGCAUGCGAUGACCCUGCAAUAUGUAUAAUGAACUUUAAAAAAGACGUUGCCUUCAAUUCCCU
RNAcentral lists this long non-coding RNA (341 nucleotides) under Eucalyptus grandis. RNAcentral's name for it is "long non-coding RNA (EGRA_LNC000911)". The record is from RNAcentral. Lineage: Eukaryota; Viridiplantae; Streptophyta; Magnoliopsida; Myrtales; Myrtaceae.